AGUGAACGCUGGCGGUAGGCCUAACACAUGCAAGUCGAACGGCAGCACAGUAAGAGCUUGCUCUUACGGGUGGCGAGUGGCGGACGGGUGAGGAAUACAUCGGAAUCUACUUUUUCGUGGGGGAUAACGUAGGGAAACUUACGCUCAUACCGCAUACGACCUACGGGUGAAAGCAGGGGAUCUUUGGACCUUGCGCGAUUGAAUGAGCCGAUGUCGGAUUAGCUAGUUGGCGGGGUAAAGGCCCACCAAGGCGACGAUCCGUAGCUGGUCGGAGAGGAUGAUCAGCCACACUGGAACUUAGACACGGACCAGACUCCUACGAGAGGCAGCAGUGGGGAAUAUUGGACAAUGGGCGCAAGCCUGAUCCAGCCAUACCGCGUGUGUGAAGAAGGCCUUCGGGUUGUAAAGCCCUUUUGUUGGGAAAGAAAAGCAGCAGGUUAAUACCCCGCUGUUCUGACGGUACCCAAAGAAUAAGCACCGGCUAACUUCGUG
This 492-nucleotide ribosomal RNA is filed under the name uncultured bacterium. RNAcentral describes it as "partial 16S ribosomal RNA". It matches the Rfam family "Bacterial small subunit ribosomal RNA", at positions 29 to 507 of the family's 1533-position model. The record is from RNAcentral.